RNAcentral lists this long non-coding RNA (425 nucleotides) under Spirodela polyrhiza (greater duckweed). RNAcentral's name for it is "long non-coding RNA (SPOL_LNC001775)". The record is from RNAcentral. Lineage: Eukaryota; Viridiplantae; Streptophyta; Magnoliopsida; Alismatales; Araceae.
CGCCCCAACAUGCAGGAGGUCGUCUCCGCUCUACAAGCCCUCCAAGACGCCGCCGCCAAGGACGCCUCCUCCGCCCCCCCCGUCGCUGCCGCCAGGGCCCCGUGGCCCGCCGCCGGCGCCAGCCCCCACCGGUACAGGCACUCCAGCAGGGCUGUGAAUGGGAUGGGCGUCGCUUACCCCCGCCCCUCCGCUUCCCCCCUACGCGCCUAGGCCCCCCCCCGGCCCCCCCCCCCUGCUUUUUCCGGCGGGAGCUGUAAAUUUUUGAGCUCGGCUCGGAAGUGCCCAUCUGCUGUCAGGGAAGGACGAACAGGAAGAAGACGACGACGGCUCCACUGGGCAGACGAGCCCACCGUCUGUUCAUCGACUGCUGUACAGUUUCAUUGAGACGGUGGCCACCACCUGCUUGUGCCUGCUUGAUUAACCCC